GCCGCGGUGGUGGAAUUGGUAUACACACUAGGUUGAGGGCCUAGGCUCAUCUAUGGGCGUGCGGGUUCAAGUCCCGCCCGCGGCACCA
Molecule: transfer RNA, 88 nt
Filed under: bacterium
Lineage: Bacteria
Description: tRNA-Leu
Rfam family: tRNA
About the family: Transfer RNA (tRNA) molecules are approximately 80 nucleotides in length. Their secondary structure includes four short double-helical elements and three loops (D, anti-codon, and T loops).
Source: RNAcentral